GAAAUGCGAUAAGUAAUGUGAAUUGCAGAAUUCAGUGAAUCAUCGAAUCUUUGAACGCACAUUGCGCUCGCCAGUAUUCUGGCGAGCAUGCCUGUUCGAGCGUCAUUUCAACCAUCAAGCUCUGCUUGCGUUGGGGAUCCGCGGCUGCCCGCGGUCCCUCAAAAACAGUGGCGGGCUCGCUAGUCACACCGAGUGUAGUAACUCUACAUCGCUAUGGUCGUGCGGCGGGUUCUUGCCGUAAAACCCCCAAUUUCUAAGGUUGACCUCGGAUCAGGUAGGAAUACCCGCUGAACUUAAGC
RNAcentral lists this unclassified non-coding RNA (299 nucleotides) under plant metagenome. Its description in RNAcentral is "partial contains 5.8S ribosomal RNA, internal transcribed spacer 2, and large subunit ribosomal RNA". The stretch from base 1 to 105 matches the Rfam family "5.8S ribosomal RNA", at positions 50 to 154 of the family's 154-position model. The record is from RNAcentral.